AAUAGAUACCCAGGUAGUCCACGCCGUAAACGAUGAGUGCUAAGUGUUAGAGGGUUUCCGCCCUUUAGUGCUGCAGCUAACGCAUUAAGCACUCCGCCUGGGGAGUACGGCCGCAAGGCUGAAACUCAAAGGAAUUGACGGGGGCCCGCACAAGCGGUGGAGCAUGUGGUUUAAUUCGAAGCAACGCGAAGAACCUUACCAGGUCUUGACAUCCUCUGACACUCCUAGAGAUAGGACGUUCCCCUUCGGGGGACAGAGUGACAGGUGGUGCAUGGUUGUCGUCAGCUCGUGUCGUGAGAUGUUGGGUUAAGUCCCGCAACGAGCGCAACCCUUGAUCUUAGUUGCCAGCAUUCAGUUGGGCACUCUAAGGUGACUGCCGGUGACAAACCGGAGGAAGGUGGGGAUGACGUCAAAUCAUCAUGCCCCUUAUGACCUGGGCUACACACGUGCUACAAUGGAUGGUACAAAGGGCAGCGAAGCCGCGAGGCUAAGCCAAUCCCAUAAAACCAUUCUCAGUUCGGAUUGC
This 526-nucleotide ribosomal RNA is filed under the name uncultured bacterium. RNAcentral's name for it is "bacterial SSU rRNA". It matches the Rfam family "Bacterial small subunit ribosomal RNA", at positions 777 to 1301 of the family's 1533-position model. The record is from RNAcentral.